Molecule: long non-coding RNA, 936 nt
Organism: Zingiber officinale
Lineage: Eukaryota; Viridiplantae; Streptophyta; Magnoliopsida; Zingiberales; Zingiberaceae
Exons: 5
Source: RefSeq, a predicted model, not a curated record
AAAAACCCUAGCCUCUUCCAACUCGCGUCGCCUCCCUCCCGUUGCCUCCCUCGUCGCCCGGCCCCCCUCCAGCGCCGACUCCAGCAUCGCCGCCUCCCUCUAGCGCCGACUCCAGCAGUGCCGCCUCCCUCCAGCGUCUCCAGCAGCGCCGCCUCCCUCUAGCGCCGGCUCCAGCAGCGUCGCCGCCCUCUAGCGCCGGCUCCAGCAGCGCCGCCUCCCUCCAGCUCCGCCUCCAGCCAGCAUCGCCGGCCUCCAGCGCCGCCUCCAGCCAGCAUCGCUGGCCUCCCGUCCUCCACCGCAAGCAUGGGCAUUUGGGAUCUAUGCUCUCAUGUUAUGAUGCUGAAGUUAGCUACGAUUGCCGCACUGACACUUUUCUAGCAAGAUAUCCACCACAUGGAAGAAGAACUGUAGUCAUAGAAGGGGUUGAGUGGGAUAGGUUAAGGCCGCCUCCUAUGGACACUCCUGCUUAUGAUCUUCAUAUCUGCAAUUGUUUGAACGAUUUGCAACCAUGCGACCAUAUUGAGAUCCAAUGGAGAAGGAACAAAGAGUUUCCUUAUGGAUGGUGGUAUGAAGGAAUAGGUCACUUGGAAUCUUGUGAUGGAAAUUGACAUUUCUGAAGUUAUCAUCUUAGUGAUACUGUUGUCGUGCAGUUCAACCAGUACACACCUGGGUCUAGGUGGAGUCGGGCAAUCCUUAACCGGAAGGAUCAUAGGGAAGAGGGCUGCGACACAGGUGGAUUCUAUGGAGGAAUCCGAAAACUGAAAAGCAAGGAUGAGGUCCAGCGCCGCCCCCAGCCAGCAUCGUCGACCUCCUGUCCUCCUCCAGCCAGCAUCACCUAUAUUUUCCUCUUCUAUUCAAACUCAAUAUUUGUUAUUAAAUUCUUGAGGGUAUUUACUGUUGCACAAUUCUUUGAAUGAAAAACAUUCUUUGUUCUCA